UGCAAACAGCGACUCACAGGAUGGAUGACGGUGAACGUGCAAAAGACAUAGAGCUGCGCCGAGCUCCGGAGGAGCCCCCGAACACGGAUGAGCGGCCCAAGUGGGACAACAAGGUCCAGUACCUGCUGACAUGCAUCGGGUUCGCGGUUGGGCUGGGCAACGUGUGGCGGUUCCCCUACCUAUGCCAGGUGUACGGGGGAGGUGCGUUCCUGAUCCCGUACCUCAUCGCGUUGCUGCUGGAGGGCCUGCCGCUGCUUCACAUGGAGCUGGCCAUCGGGCAGAGGCUCCGCAUGGGUAGCAUAGGUGUCUGGAACUCGAUCUCACCGUACCUCGGAGGAGUGGGUGUGGCGUCCCUGACCGUCUCUUUUUUAGUGGGUUUGUUCUACAAUACUAUACUCGCCUGGGUUCUGUGGUACUUGUUCCAUUCGUUCCAAAACCCGUUACCUUGGCAGUCUUGUCCCACCAAGGCCAAUCACACUGGCCUUUUGGAGGAAUGUGAGAGGAGCACGCCAGUGAACUACUUCUGGUACAGAGUGACGCUGAACAUCACUACAGACAUCGCGGUCAGCGGGGAUCCACAGUGGUGGCUCGUGGUGUGUCUGGCUUUAGCCUGGUGUAUCGUCUACAUCUGCUUCAUCCGGGGCAUCGAGACCAUUGGCAAGGCAAUAUAUGUCACAGCCACCUUCCCCUAUCUGGUGCUGACGAUCUUCCUGAUCCGGGCCUUGACCCUGCCUGGGGCUAUGCUUGGACUGCACUACCUCUUCACCCCCAACUGGGAAACCCUGAAGAACCCCACAGUGUGGCUGGAUGCUGCCACACAGAUUUUCUUCUCUCUGUCUCUGGCCUUUGGGGGGUUGAUUGCAUUUUCCAGUUAUAAUCCACAAAAGAACAACUGUGAACGAGACGCCCUUAUAGUUGGAUGCAUCAACAGUGCAACGUCAAUUUACGCAUCGAUACCCAUUUUUGCUAUCCUGGGAUUCAAGGCGCAGUCCAACUACAACGACUGUCUAAAUGAUAAUAUUUUAAGCUUGAUCAACACUUUUAAUAUUGCGGACGGGAAUGUGACAGAGAACAAUUAUGGGGAAUGGCUGUCCUAUCUUAAUUCCACAAAUCCAUACGAAGUGGAACAACUUCAUCUAAAGACAUGCGACCUCCAAACCCUUCUUGACCAGAGCGCCUCAGGCACUGGCUUGGCCUUCAUCGUGUUCACUGAGGCGGUCAUAAAGAUGCCCGGCUCCCAGGUCUGGGCAGUGCUCUUCUUUAUCAUGCUCUUCACGCUGGGUCUCUCGUCGAUGUUUGGAAAUCUAGAGGGUGUCUUGACCCCUCUGCUGGACCUGCACUUGGUGCCCAAGUGCAUUCCUAAAGAGAUUUUCACAGGUCUCAUCUGCGUAGUCUCCUUCACAGUGGCCCUCAUCUUCACUCUGGGCUCUGGGAACUACUGGCUGGAAAUUUUUAAUAACUAUGUGGGCUCCCUUCCUCUGCUGGUCAUUGCCUUCUUUGAGAUCACAGCCGUGAUCUACAUCUACGGUGCCAAUAGAUUUAGUGACGAUAUCGAGUGGAUGACAGGACACAGGCCCAACCUGUACUGGCAAGCUACAUGGAGGGUGAUCAGUCCACUAAUGUUGCUGGUAGUUUUCCUGGCUUAUGUGGUGGUGCAGGCACAAGACAAGCCCACCUAUGAAGCAUGGAACCCACAAUAUAUAAGGGUUCCUUAAGGCAAGGAGUGUCUGUCAGUGAGGAUAAGAGGAGCGCUCUGCCGCAGGUUUCUCACCGCUAGCAGGGAGGGCUGGAGAGCGAACUACCGCCAGCCCGUCUUCCUGGCUGGCACGGGCCUGGCCUUCUUCUACAAAACUGUACUGGGCUUCGACUGCAUCACCAUCGGCUAUGACUGCACGCGGGGUGAGAGUGGCACACUGCUCAGGCUGCUCAUGGCCGUCUCAAGUCCACUGAACCACUAAUUGAUAAGGUCUCGUUCUGUUUGUGUGUGCUCAGAUUUAGUGACGAUAUCGAGUGGAUGACAGGACACAGGCCCAACCUGUACUGGCAAGCUACAUGGAGGGUGAUCAGUCCACUAAUGCUGCUGGUAGUUUUCCUGGCUUAUGUGGUGGUGCAGGCACAAGACAAGCCCACCUAUGAAGCAUGGAACCCACAAUAUAUAAGGGUUCCUUAAGGCAAGGAGUGUCUGUCAGUGAGGAUAAGAGGAGCGCUCUGCCGCAGGUUUCUCACCGCUAGCAGGGAGGGCUGGAGAGCGAACUACCGCCAGCCCGUCUUCCUGGCUGGCACGGGCCUGGCCUUCUUCUACAAAACUGUACUGGGCUUCGACCGCAUCACCAUCGGCUAUGACUGCACGCGGGGUGAGAGUGGCACACUGCUCAGGCUGCUCAUGGCCGUCUCAGCCACAGCCUGCCUGCAGGUUAUGGUGCUUUACUAAAAUGCGCAGGACGCUGAGGCUUGUAGACACUGGGAGUGUUUCUAGUGGCUUGCCUGCUGCUGUGUGUUCUCCGUGUUCGCCCCUGGCAGCCCCAUGGACCCGGGCUUGCCAACGGUCGGGAAACAGAUUGGGUGCAGACAGCAUGUCAUGGGAAGGGCUCAGCAGGAACAACGCUCUUCUGCAGGGUGGCAGCAACCAGCCGCUGCCGCAUGACUGCUUCUCCAUUCUCUGGGCCAACAACACUGCGCUUUUCGAAAACACUCCUCGAGGAGCCCCGAGUACUGCAUGCUCACCACUCUGCUGUUCCUCGGAAUGAUCAUGGCCCAAGUCCAUGAGCAGAGUGAUCGUGUGCUCCGUCUCUUGUGCCUUUAGGACUCCACCCCCCACCCCCCCAAUACACUGAGGUAAUAAAAUACAUUUAUUUCAACUGACUAGCUUUACGCAAUGUUAGAAGCUGUCAGUGUUUCCAUCUGUUGUUGAUGAGAGCCCUGCUGACUAGCUAACGCCUCUGACCUACAGGGAAGGUAACGUUAGUGUCAAUACACUACUAACAUUAGCUAUCAUAGUUAAGUUACCUGGAAGGGUCAAGGGCAUAUUCAACAAACAUUAAUGUUUUUAUAUUUUGUUAUGUUUGUUCGAAAUCCCACGUGAAGUCUUAGUAAUGUGUCAGUCAUUGUAGUGAUACAUGUGAACAUCUAGAGAGUAGUAGAUUUAAAUAAUUGCAUAUUUGUAUAGUAUCCUUUGCAGCUGUACUGGCUUAUGGUAAAUGACAUUAUUAGUGUCAGUUUGAAAAAGUGAAAGCACAUUUUUAUGAGUCCGCACUUGUCAGCUUUCAUUCACAAUAAGUGGAAGGGUGACAGUGGCAUUCAGCGUUUUUUUGGGCAACUUCAGAAAAAAAAGAAAAGUAAGCUGUGAGAAAAUGAGCACUAGUCAGAUGAUAUAAGUAUACUUAAUUUUUCCUGACAUCAUAAUGAACAGUCAGAUAAGAAAUUGUCAGCAAUCCAUUCCUGAGCAUCACGGCAGGAAAUACCAGUUGUUUAUCGAUAAUAUUUUUCAUGUUCUCUCUGGUUCAUUCAAAGUAGAGAAAGAAAGUGAGAGGGAGAGUAUGAGGAUGCUGACAGGUCAGGCAGAGGUGGUGACUUGCAAGUGAGUGAGAUCACACAAUGCCAUUACACUAGCCCAGUCCUGAUGUACAGACUCCUGUUAGCCUUCACAUAUCCAUCAAGUCUUUCUUGUCACUAGUUUAGUGAUAAUACUUGUGAUGAAAUUUCUUUCAGCUCUGGUUCAUUCAGAGUAAAGAGAGAGAGCAUGAGGGCAGUAACGGGGAUAUGGAGUAAUGGGGAUAUGGAGGUGAGUGAGAAAAGAAGCAAACAUUGAUGGUUCAGACAAAGUAAUGACAUCAUAACAGUCUCAUCCUAAUGUUAACUUAAGAUAUUUAAAUAAUAUUAAUGUUAUAUGAUAAAAAUAAUAAUAUA
Electrophorus electricus (electric eel) is the source of this 3906-nucleotide non-coding RNA. The record is from RefSeq and is a predicted model, not a curated record. Lineage: Eukaryota; Metazoa; Chordata; Actinopteri; Gymnotiformes; Gymnotidae.